AGCAGCCGCGGUAAUUCCAGCUCCAAUAGCGUAUAUUAAAGUUGUUGCAGUUAAAAAGCUCGUAGUUGAAUUUCGGGGUCAGUAGGUCGGUCGUGCCACAGGUAUGCACUGGUCUCACUGAUUCCUCCUUCCUGAUGAACCGUAAUGCCAUUAAUUUGGUGUUGCGGGGAGACUGGACUGUUACUUUGAGAAAAUUAGAGUGUUUAGAGCAGGCUAACGCUUGAAUACAUUAGCAUGGAAUAACGGAAUAGGACGUUCGAUCUUAUUUUGUUGGUUUCUAAGAUUGACGUAAUGAUUAAUAGGGAUAGUUGGGGGCAUUAGUAUUCAAUUGUCAGAGGUGAAAUUCUUGGAUUUAUUGAAGACUAACUACUGCGAAAGCAUUUGCCAAGGAUGU
RNAcentral lists this small RNA (394 nucleotides) under uncultured Entrophospora. RNAcentral's name for it is "SSU rRNA". It matches the Rfam family "Eukaryotic small subunit ribosomal RNA", at positions 569 to 967 of the family's 1831-position model. Lineage: Eukaryota; Fungi; Glomeromycota; Glomeromycetes; Entrophosporales; Entrophosporaceae. The record is from RNAcentral.